GAUGAACGCUGGCGGCGUGCCUAAUACAUGCAAGUCGAGCGAACAGACGAGGAGCUUGCUCCUCUGACGUUAGCGGCGCGCGUGUGAGUAACACGUGUAUCCCCUCCCUUUAUGACUGAGAUCACUUCGAGAAACCGGCGCAAAUACCGUAUAAUAUAUUGUACCGCUGGGUUCAGUAGUGAAAGACGGUUUUGCUGUCACUUAUGCAUGGGUCCGCGCCGCAUUAGCUAGUUGGGAAGGUAGCGGCUUACCAAGGCAACGAUGCGUCGCCGACCUGAGAGGGUGAGCGGGCAACCGGGAACUGAGAGACGGUCAAGACUCCCACGGGAGGAAGCAGGAGGGAAGUUGCAGCAAUGGCCGAAAGGCUGCCGGAGCAAGGCCGCGUGAGUGAUGAAGGGCUGCGGACCGUAAGACUCUGUUAUUAGGGAGGACCAAAUGUGUAAGUAACUAUGCACGUGUUGACGGUAGCUGAUCAGAAAGCGACGGCUAACUACGUG
Molecule: ribosomal RNA, 497 nt
Filed under: uncultured bacterium
Lineage: Bacteria
Description: partial 16S ribosomal RNA
Rfam family: Bacterial small subunit ribosomal RNA
Source: RNAcentral